RNAcentral lists this unclassified non-coding RNA (4375 nucleotides) under Hevea brasiliensis (rubber tree). Lineage: Eukaryota; Viridiplantae; Streptophyta; Magnoliopsida; Malpighiales; Euphorbiaceae. The record is from RNAcentral.
AAGGGUCGCCAUUUUUGAAGGAAAAUGGGAUAUCAAUCAUUGCAUAACCAAAGUUCCUUGAACUUCUCAAAGGGAGAGCGGAAAAACAAAGAGCGAAGGCUCCACACGCAAUUUUACACAAGAAAGGCUAGCCAAGCUUUUUUGUGAAGGUUCCAUCUCUUUUCUCAACAACUUCUCCGAAGUUCUCUAAACUGUAAGGAUUGAUCUUCAAAUACUUUCGCUGGUUGCUUUGCCAACUUCCUUAGCGUUGGAGUUGUCUGCUGUAGCUAUUCUCGAGUUCUUGAUUCAAUCAUCUCCUCCUCUACUGCUGUUACUCCCCUUUUCUCUUCUUUCAAUUCUUGAAAAGAAAGAGAGAGAAACCAAGAUGGCAGAAGCAGUUCCAUUUGGUAUAGCUACCAACAUACUAACGAAGUUGGGUUCCUCCACCUUCAAAGAAAUCGGAGCCACAUAUGGUGUGAAAAAGGACUUGCAGAAGCUUGAAAACACACUCUCCACCAUCAAAGCUGCGCUGCUAGACGCUGAACAAAGGCAGGAGAAGAGCUAUUUGGUGCAAGACUGGAUAAGGAAGCUUAAAGAUGUUGUUUAUGUAGCUGAUGAUGUGUUGGAUAGGUUUGCAACAAAAGCUUUGAAGCAUCAAAGCACUGGUUUAAAGAUCAAAGAAGGGGUGAGUGAAUUCUUUUCCAUGUCGAAUCAACUUGCAUUUCGUUUCAAGAUGGCUCGAAAGAUAAGAUAUAUUAGGGAGAGAGUAGAUGAUAUUGCAGCUGAUAUGUCAAAGUUCAAUUUCAAAGAGAGAGUGGUUGAGCGAGAGGAAAAUAGGCAGAGAGAGCAGACUCAUUCCUUUCUAUCAAACUCAGAAAUUAUUGGGAGGGAUAGGAAUAAGGAGGAGAUUCUUAACUUGUUGAUGUGUUCAAACAAUCAGGAAAAUGUUUCUAUUGUUCCAAUUGUUGGGAUUGGUGGGUUAGGCAAGACAACUCUUGCUCAGUUGGUGUAUAAUGAUACUCGGGUAAUCAAUUCUUUUGAAAAAAGGAUAUGGGUUUCCGUCUAUAAAAAAAUUGAUGCUGGAAUGGUUGUUGCUAGUAUUAUUAAAUCUGUAAAGAAAAUUGAUCCGGGAAACUUGGAGCUGGACCAAUUGCAAUUGUGCCUCAGGGAAAACUUGGAGGGGAAGAGAUAUUUACUUGUCUUGGAUGAUGUAUGGGAUGAAAGCCAUGAGAGAUGGGUUUGUCUGAAGAAUCUGUUAUCGAUUGGAGCUCGAGGAAGCAAGAUUCUAGUGACUACUCGCAGUAGAAAAGUUGCCUUUGUCUCAGGCAUCAACUGCCCUUACAUUUUAGAAGGUCUAGCAGAAGAUGAGUGCUGGGCAUUGUUUGAGCGCCUCACGUUUGGAGAGGACAAGGAGGGAGUGAAUUCAAGCCUGAUCACAAUUGGAAGGGAAAUUGUGAGGAGAUGCAAAGGAGUUCCUCUUGCUGUGAAGAGUUUGGCAUGUGCAAUGCGAACAAAAACAGAAGUGAGUGAAUGGUUGGCCAUUCAGAAUGCUGAAAUUUGGAGGUCUUCUUUAGAUGAUAAUGAAAUUCUACCAGUGCUGAAGUUGAGCUAUGAUCAUUUGCCAAUCCCUUUAAGACAGUGCUUUGCUUUUUGCUCAAUUUUCCCAAAAGACUUCAUGAUCCAGAAAGAUAUAUUGAUCCAGUUGUGGACAGCACAGGGUUAUAUUCACUGCACCAGUGGAAAUGAGUAUCUGGAGUAUCUUGGUGAUCAAUACUUUAAGGAUUUAGUGACAUUGUCUUUCUUUCAAGAAGUAGAAAUGGAUGACCUUGGAAACGUUAAAAGCUUUAAGAUGCAUGAUCUUAUUCAUGAUCUUGCACAGGUAGUUGCAGGAACAGAUUGUGUUAUUGCAGGAACUGAUAGUGGGAAUAUUUCUGAACGAGUGCAUCAUAUCUCCUUUCGACAUCCCUCUUGUUCUCCAGAUGUUCCAAAGCAUUUAUUUGAAGCAAAGAGCACAAGGACUUUCUUUUUGCCAGAUUACUGUGGAUUCACCAAUGAAUCAGCAUCACAUGCUCUGAUUUCAAAGUUUAAAUGCCUACGUGCGUUGGACUUGCAUCACUCGUGUAUUAAGGAGUUGACUUACAAUAUUGGUAAGUUGAAGCAUUUGAGAUAUCUUGAUCUUUCUAAUAAUUUGGACAUGGAAAACCUUCCUUGUUCAAUAUGCUAUCUGCAUAAUUUGCAAACGUUGUUGCUCUCAAACUGUACAAGUCUUCAACAGCUGCCGAGGGAUCUUGGAAAGCUGAUAAGCCUUAGACAUCUUAUGAUUGAUGGGUGUGCUAGGCUGACUCACAUGCCGUCUGGGUUGGAAAAGUUGACGUCCAUUCAAACAUUACCAAGGUUCAUUGUUGCAGAGAACAAAGAUUGCUCCCCAGAUAGUUCAAAGAUCAAUGAGUUGGAUGGCCUAAACCAAUUGAGAGGUGAGUUACAUAUUGAAAAGCUUGGAAAUGUUAGGAAUGUUGCAUUGGAGUCCAAAGCAGGAAAUUUGAAAGGGAAGGGAUGCCUUCGAUCCCUUACUCUAAACUGGGGGACAUCACCUAGAGCUGGUCAGGAUGAGCAUGAUGAAUUAUUGAUGCAAAACCUGCAGCCACACUCAAAUCUGAAGGAAUUACAUGUGGAAGGUUAUGGAGGUGUGACGUUCUCAACUUGGCUCUCCUCGCUUGGAAACAUUGUUAAAAUUACAAUAAAGAAGUGUAAUCGAUGCCAACAUCUGCCGCCUCUACAAGAACUCCGCCAUCUCAAGUUCCUCAGUCUUGAAGAGUUGAUGGAUCUUGAGUACAUCGACAAUAGCAGCAGGCAGCCCUCAUCAUCUGUAAUAUUCUUCCCAUCCUUAAAAGUACUUUCACUUGUUGAAUUGCCUAAUUUAAAGAGAUGGUGGAGGGAAGAAGCAGUCGUUGAGUCGAUGAACAAUAGUAAUAGAGCAUCGACAUCACUUGGCGAGCAUCAGGAGCAGCAACCUGUGGUACUACCUUCUUUUCCUUGUCUUUCUAGCUUAAAAAUUCACCAUUGCUUUAACUUGACGUCAAUCCCGCUGCAUCCAUACCUUGAAGAGCUGUAUCUAUAUGAAGUCAGUGAGGAACUUCUACAACAACAGGGAGUGAUGUUGCUCACCAUGAUGACAAUGAGGAUCACCAUGAUGAUGAUGAUGAUGGCAGCUUUACAGAGCCCCAGAGAAUCUUCCACCUCCCUUUCUUUACUUCCCCAUGAUUCCUUCACUGCUUCUCCUCUUUCUAAACUAAAGUCUCUGCAACUUGUGAGAAUUGAUGAUUUAGAAUCUUUGCCAGAGGCAUGGUUGCCAAACCUGACUUCUCUUGAGCAUGUAAAGAUUGAGGAGUGCCCUAAACUAUCAAGUUUACCGCGACAAGGUUUCAAGGCCUUGACUUCUCUCCGAAAUCUGAGGAUCUACAGGUGUGAAGGGUUAAAGUCUUUAUCUAAUGGGAUUCAACAUCUCACUGCUCUUGAGGAACUGAGGAUCAGGAGCUGUGAGGAGCUUGAUCUUUCAGAUGAUGGUAUGCAAUUGCAAGACCUUAAAAAGCUUCAUUAUCUGGAACUCAGUGAUAUCCCAAAAUUGGUUUUUCUUCCAAUCUGGAUUCAAGACACCCCUAGUCUACAAGAAUUGCAGGUUGAAGAAUGUAAAAAUUUGGUUGCUUUGCCAGAGUGGAUUGACAGCCUCACAUUGCUUCAAAGACUUAAAAUUUCCUAUUGCCCCAGAUUGACUUCAUUGCCAGAUAGGAUUCGCAAUCUUGCUGCUUUACAACAGCUUUGCAUUUGCAAUUGCCCUCACCUAUCUAGAAGAUGCCAGAAAGCCAGAGGUGCAGAUUGGCCCAAAAUUGCUCACAUUGCAAUGAUCAAAAUUAAUGGCAAGUGGGUCCAACGCCUAACAUGACAUCAUUCUGAUACAAGGAAUUCUCUGCUUGAAGGUUUCUCUUGACAUGCAAGGCCACUGUGCUCUGUUUGUAGACCUUAUGGGAUUGCUGGGUUGCUCAUUUUGCUUUUUGGAUGGAUGUUGCUUUUUUCAGUGGUUUUGUGCUGCCAUGUUGGUGGCUUUGCUAUGGUUGUUCUUAGGCUAAGUGUUCCAUGGGGUGUUCUCUCUGCUUGCCUUUUCUGUUCCUGCGUUUGUUUGCUGUUGCUUGUUGGUUGUACUGUUUUUGCAAGGGAUUCUUAUCGGCUCUUUGGCAUAGAAUUUAGGUGGGUGUAAGGGUUUGGCUUGCGGGUCUGGGUUAGCCUCACCUGGUUCUCCCUUGUUUUCUAUUUAAUAAAAUCUUGCUUUGCUUUGCUUAUAUUAAAAAAAAAAAAUGUAUGUAAGCUGGUCUGCUAGAAAAAGUGGAGUUUAUCUGGUCAG